RNAcentral lists this long non-coding RNA (679 nucleotides) under Anas platyrhynchos platyrhynchos (common mallard). RNAcentral's name for it is "lncRNA (ENSAPLG00000017339.1)". Lineage: Eukaryota; Metazoa; Chordata; Aves; Anseriformes; Anatidae. The record is from RNAcentral.
CAGCCCUUCACUGCUGUGUCUCCUGCAGGGGAUCUCCUGGCUCCUGCUCUCCAAAUGAACUCAAGUUCUGCUCAGCCAGGUACCACAGUUGUGCUCCAGUGUAUUCUCCAUGUAGUGUCAUCCGUAAGACGAAUCAUCUUCUGCAAGGAUGGGAUGGAGCUGUACAGUCUGAUAGCCCAGCAAGGGCAGCUGAGCUACUCUGUGGUCCUGAACAUCACGUCAAGAAGCGCAGGAAGAUAUACAUGUGGGUACCAGGCGCUGAAUGAGAUGAAACACAUGAGGAGCUCUGCCCUCAGUGCCGGCUGCAUCCUGAAUGUCCCUGGGAGGAAACCAUGUAGGUGCUGUUUGGACAGAGCAGUGGGAAAGUGUAGUUUAGCAAGGACCAACAGUGGGGACAUGGUCAUGGCGGUUCAUGAGGUCUUCACCCCUCUAAGCAAACUGCUGCGUGCCCCAAUGUGCAAGUGCUUCCAUGACCACCCAGGACAUCCAAAGCUCCCCAGGUGCCUGCAGAGGGAGAUGCCCAAGGUAGCAGCACGUUGACAGCCCACAGGCGGAAGACACCAACUAUGGUGACAUCCAGUACGUGCACAGAGCAGCUUGCAAGGUGUGCUGGCUGUGCAAGGAGAGGUGAUGCCACAGAAUGGUGGAAAUAAACCAAAACUUCAGUAUUUCUGCUCCA